Molecule: ribosomal RNA, 458 nt
Filed under: uncultured bacterium
Lineage: Bacteria
Description: partial 16S ribosomal RNA
Rfam family: Bacterial small subunit ribosomal RNA
Source: RNAcentral
CCUACGGGGAGCAGCAGUGAGGAAUAUUGGUCAAUGGGCGAGAGCCUGAACCAGCCAAGUCGCGUGAGGGAGUACUGCCCUAUGGGUUGUAAACCUCUUUUGUCGGGGAGCAAAAGCCGGACGUGUCCGGCUGUGAGAGUACCCGAAGAAAAAGCAUCGGCUAACUCCGUGCCAGCAGCCGCGGUAAUACGGAGGAUGCGAGCGUUAUCCGGAUUUAUUGGGUUUAACGGGUGCGCAGGCGGAUUUUUAAGUCAGCGGUAAAAUCGUGGGGCUCAACCCCAUCCAGCCGUUGAAACUGGGGAUCUAGAGUGUGCGAGAGGUAUGCGGAAUGCGUGGUGUAGCGGUGAAAUGCAUAGAUAUCACGCAGAACCCCGAUGGCGAAGGCAGCAUACCGGUGCACAACUGACGCUCAGGCACGAAAGCGUGGGUAUCGAACAGGAUUAGAUACCCUAGUAGUC